This 3150-nucleotide ribosomal RNA is filed under the name Streptomyces fungicidicus. Its description in RNAcentral is "bacterial LSU rRNA". It matches the Rfam family "Bacterial large subunit ribosomal RNA". RNAcentral also lists the same sequence under 1 other name. Lineage: Bacteria; Bacillati; Actinomycetota; Actinomycetes; Kitasatosporales; Streptomycetaceae. The record is from RNAcentral.
ACAGUGGACGCGAGCAUCUGUGGCCAAGUUUUUAAGGGCGCACGGUGGAUGCCUUGGCACCAGGAACCGAUGAAGGACGUGGGAGGCCACGAUAGUCCCCGGGGAGUCGUCAACCAGGCUUUGAUCCGGGGGUUUCCGAAUGGGGAAACCCGGCAGUCGUCAUGGGCUGUCACCCUUGCCUGAACACAUAGGGCAAGUGGAGGGAACGCGGGGAAGUGAAACAUCUCAGUACCCGCAGGAAGAGAAAACAACCGUGAUUCCGGGAGUAGUGGCGAGCGAAACCGGAUGAGGCCAAACCGUAUGCGUGUGAGACCCGGCAGGGGUUGCGCAUACGGGGUUGUGGGAUCUCUCUUCUACGGUCUGCCGGCCGUGGGACGAGUCAGAAACCGUUGAUGUAGGCGAAGGACAUGCGAAAGGUCCGGCGUAGAGGGUAAGACCCCCGUAGUCGAAACAUCAGCGGCUCGUUUGAGAGACACCCAAGUAGCACGGGGCCCGAGAAAUCCCGUGUGAAUCUGGCGGGACCACCCGCUAAGCCUAAAUAUUCCCUGGUGACCGAUAGCGGAUAGUACCGUGAGGGAAUGGUGAAAAGUACCGCGGGAGCGGAGUGAAAUAGUACCUGAAACCGUGUGCCUACAAGCCGUGGGAGCGUCGGGUAGGAACUUGUUCCUACCUCGUGACUGCGUGCCUUUUGAAGAAUGAGCCUGCGAGUUUGCGGUGUGUUGCGAGGUUAACCCGGGUGGGGAAGCCGUAGCGAAAGCGAGUCCGAAUAGGGCGUUUCAGUAGCACGCUCAAGACCCGAAGCGGAGUGAUCUAGCCAUGGGCAGGUUGAAGCGGAGGUAAGACUUCGUGGAGGACCGAACCCACCAGGGUUGAAAACCUGGGGGAUGACCUGUGGUUAGGGGUGAAAGGCCAAUCAAACUCCGUGAUAGCUGGUUCUCCCCGAAAUGCAUUUAGGUGCAGCGUCGUGUGUUUCUUGCCGGAGGUAGAGCACUGGAUAGGCGAUGGGCCCUACCGGGUUACUGACCUUAGCCAAACUCCGAAUGCCGGUAAGUGAGAGCGCGGCAGUGAGACUGUGGGGGAUAAGCUCCAUGGUCGAGAGGGAAACAGCCCAGAGCAUCGACUAAGGCCCCUAAGCGUACGCUAAGUGGGAAAGGAUGUGGAGUCGCACAGACAACCAGGAGGUUGGCUUAGAAGCAGCCACCCUUGAAAGAGUGCGUAAUAGCUCACUGGUCUAGUGAUUCCGCGCCGACAAUGUAGCGGGGCUCAAGCGUACCGCCGAAGUCGUGUCAUUGCGAUAUGUACCCCCAACGGGGAUCGUGAUGGGUAGGGGAGCGUCGUGUGCCGGGUGAAGCAGCGCCGGAAGGCAGUUGUGGACGGUUCACGAGUGAGAAUGCAGGCAUGAGUAGCGAUUCACACGUGAGAAACGUGUGCGCCGAUUGACUAAGGGUUCCUGGGUCAAGCUGAUCUGCCCAGGGUAAGUCGGGACCUAAGGCGAGGCCGACAGGCGUAGUCGAUGGAUAACCGGUUGAUAUUCCGGUACCCGCUGUGAAGCGUCAAACAUCGAAUCCAGUGAUGCUAAGCCCGUGAAGCCGCCGGCUGAGUCUUCGGACGAGGUCGGAGUGGUGGAGCCGGUGACCCGAGCUGGUAGUAGGUGAGUGAUGGGGUGACGCAGGAAGGUAGUCCAUCCCGGGCGGUGGUUGUCCCGGGGUAAGGGUGUAGGACGUCAGGUAGGUAAAUCCGCCUGGCACAUAGUCUGAGACCUGAUGCCGAGCCGAUUGUGGUGAAGUGGAUGAUCCUAUGCUGUCGAGAAAAGCCUCUAGCGAGUUUCAUGGCGGCCCGUACCCUAAACCGACUCAGGUGGUCAGGUAGAGAAUACCGAGGCGUUCGGGUGAACUAUGGUUAAGGAACUCGGCAAAAUGCCCCCGUAACUUCGGGAGAAGGGGGGCCACGUCUGGUGAGAGCACUUGCUGCUCGAGCUGGGGGUGGCCGCAGAGACCAGCGAGAAGCGACUGUUUACUAAAAACACAGGUCCGUGCGAAGCCGUAAGGCGAUGUAUACGGACUGACGCCUGCCCGGUGCUGGAACGUUAAGGGGACCGGUUAGCUCACUUUCGGGUGGGCGAAGCUGAGAACUUAAGCGCCAGUAAACGGCGGUGGUAACUAUAACCAUCCUAAGGUAGCGAAAUUCCUUGUCGGGUAAGUUCCGACCUGCACGAAUGGCGUAACGACUUCUCGACUGUCUCAACCAUAGGCCCGGUGAAAUUGCACUACGAGUAAAGAUGCUCGUUUCGCGCAGCAGGACGGAAAGACCCCGGGACCUUUACUACAGUUUGAUAUUGGUGUUCGGUUCGGCUUGUGUAGGAUAGCUGGGAGACUUUGAACUCUGGACGCCAGUUCAGGGGGAGUCGUCGUUGAAAUACCAGUCUGGUCGUGCUGGAUGUCUAACCUGGGUCCGUGAUCCGGAUCAGGGACAGUGUCUGAUGGGUAGUUUAACUGGGGCGGUUGCCUCCUAAAGAGUAACGGAGGCGCCCAAAGGUUCCCUCAGCCUGGUUGGCAAUCAGGUGUUGAGUGUAAGUGCACAAGGGAGCUUGACUGUGAGACCGACGGGUCGAGCAGGGACGAAAGUCGGGACUAGUGAUCCGGCGGUGGCUUGUGGAAGCGCCGUCGCUCAACGGAUAAAAGGUACCCCGGGGAUAACAGGCUGAUCUUCCCCAAGAGUCCAUAUCGACGGGAUGGUUUGGCACCUCGAUGUCGGCUCGUCGCAUCCUGGGGCUGGAGUCGGUCCCAAGGGUUGGGCUGUUCGCCCAUUAAAGCGGUACGCGAGCUGGGUUUAGAACGUCGUGAGACAGUUCGGUCCCUAUCCGCUGUGCGCGUAGGAGUCUUGAGAAGGGCUGUCCCUAGUACGAGAGGACCGGGACGGACGAACCUCUGGUGUGCCAGUUGUUCUGCCAAGGGCAUGGCUGGUUGGCUACGUUCGGGAGGGAUAACCGCUGAAAGCAUCUAAGCGGGAAGCCUGCUUCGAGAUGAGGACUCCCACCUCCUAGAGAGGGUAAGGCUCCCAGUAGACGACUGGGUUGAUAGGCCGGAUAUGGAAGCACGGUAACGUGUGGAGUUGACCGGUACUAAUAGGCCGAGGGCUUGUCCUCAGUUG